UACGGGAGGCAGCAGUGGGGAAUAUUGCACAAUGGGCGAAAGCCUGAUGCAGCUAUGCCGCGUGUAUGAAGAAGGCCUUAGGGUUGUAAAGUACUUUCAUCGGGGAGGAAAAAACAAAACUAAUAAUUUUAUUUCUUGACGUUACCCGAAAAAGAAGCACCGGCUAACUCCGUGCCAGCAGCCGCGGUAAUACGGAGGGUGCUAGCGUUAAUCAGAAUUACUGGGCGUAAAGAGCACGUAGGUGGUUUUUUUAAGUCAGAUGUGAAAUCCCUGGGCUUAACCUAGGAACUGCAUUUUGAAACUGAAAUACUAGAAGUAUCGUAGAGGGAGGUAGAAUUCUAGGUGUAGCGGUGAAAUGCGUAGAUAUCUGGAGGAAUACCUGUGGCGAAAGCGGCCUCCUAAACGAAUACUGACACUGAGGUGCGAAAAGCGUUGGGGAGCAAACAGGGAUUAGAUACC
RNAcentral lists this ribosomal RNA (459 nucleotides) under uncultured bacterium. Its description in RNAcentral is "bacterial SSU rRNA". It matches the Rfam family "Bacterial small subunit ribosomal RNA", at positions 340 to 786 of the family's 1533-position model. The record is from RNAcentral.